Molecule: unclassified non-coding RNA, 2290 nt
Filed under: Octopus sinensis (East Asian common octopus)
Lineage: Eukaryota; Metazoa; Mollusca; Cephalopoda; Octopoda; Octopodidae
Description: uncharacterized LOC115209818, transcript variant X1
Source: RNAcentral
CACAGGUACAAACACACAUACAAAAGUUUGAGUUAUUCUUUGUCCCUCUUUCUAUUACAUCGGUUUCAUCCCUAUAAUAUCUUCAUUGCCACUUGCUAGUGUUAGUUCUAACUCCAAUAACCUAUUAGUACUGCUAGUUAUUCUGUAGAAGUACCAACAAGCGCCAAUGCCGUCUCCAUUGCGGCAGUGAGUGGAUGAAUUCACUACUACUACUAUUACUACUACUGCUGCUUCCAUUGGCGCUGCUGCCUUUGCUGCUGCUGCUCUCUCAAUUCCAACUCAAAACGUUGCUUUAAUUGUCAGCGCUGCUACCACGUUCCCUGGAUAAACUCAUACAGAUGUUUUGGUACUAACUAACAGCGAUCCUUCAAGGGCUAAAUGGUGUGAAGGCUCCAACUGAACCGGAUCUGUGAGACAUGAAAUGAGAGUCAAGCAUUGUUGGAAACAAAGCAGUUUCAUAGCAACCAUCACCACAGACUGUCAUAAUGAACAAAAGGGCUUCUUCCUACCUAGACGCAAUCUUUUCUCAUUUGAAGGAGAGACGAAAUAAAAUGUGUAAUUACAGUGAGAUAGAAUAAUUUCAAGUGCUUCUAUGUUCACACUUUAAUUGAAAAUCUAAAACAGAAAAGCUUAAAGAGACAAAAUGUUAUCCAGGCGUGACAUUGCGUAUCUUGAAGGAACAUCAUGAUUCCUUUUACUCUUGGAAAUGUAAUUGAUAUUAUGAGUGCAAAUCAACUAAAAUCUGUACUUAGCAAUUUUUUUUAUCACUUUGUUAUUUCAAGUUAAUGAAGUUGGUUACAGCAUAACUAUAAUAUCGUGGUGUUGAAAAAGAGAAUACCAAAAAACUGUGAAUUUACACACACACACACAAAUAUAUUCAUAAUUGGAUCGCUCUCUAAAAUGAUAAUAUCUUUUAGGCGUUUCUCAAUGUACAUGAUGAAUAUAACUUAAAUAUUACUUGUCAGAAGAAUUUACUUAUCUGAAUGGUAACGCUCAAUUGAAUGUACGAGUAAUAAAAGUAAUAAUAAUAAUAAUAAUAAUAAUAAUAAUAAUAUAAUAAUAAUAAUAAUAAUAAUAAUAAUAAUAAUAAUAACAACAACAACAACAAUAAUAAUUGUUCUUCAAGAAUUCCUGAAUAUUUCACUGCCAAUUCUUCUUAAUGAUGUCAUAACUUUCUUUCAAACGAAAAGACUUCGAAAGGAAAUGCUGUGACGGAAUUGAACGAAUAAUUCGAGAUAUUCAUUACAACGAAUUCACAUUAAAAGAAUAAAUAAACGUUUACAGUUUUUCAAUGGGAUGAAUAAAAUAAUGACUCUAAUAGGUAUCUUACCAUACAAAUAAACGUAAAGUGUACUAUGUGAGAUAAAGAAAUAGAACCAAACGAAAGUGGACGACUCGUUAGCAACUGUGUUGCUUAACUUUAUCCCAUACUAUUGAAUUAUGGUUUUCUAAAGGCAAUCUAGAAACAUGGAUGCAGGAUAAAGCAAAGGAACCUCAGGUCCUUUAAAGCGAGCGUUUUUCUCUGUUACCGUGACGGAAGGGAAAAGCAGGUGUGAAGAGUAUAACUCAGCGUUUCGGACGGUUUCUUCGGCUUCUUUGUAAUUCUCUCAAGCUGGCUACCUCUGCAGAAGAAUUAGCCGACAGUGGCUCCACUGGCGACGAAAGAAGUUCCACUCAGCGCAGCUAUGAACCGUAUGAGCUGCAGAUCUACUCAGAUUUGGGAACGGACCACGAUGACUCCAUCGAAAUCCUCUCGUGUCAACUGGAACCGGGAGAAUCGAUAUAUUACAAAAUGGAAAGCGGGACAACGACGAGGUGCAAGGAGGUAGUUAAACGCUUUGCCAAGAGAGAACCCACUAAGAAACAGAAGUUGAUCGCCCGUGUUGUCAUGAUCGUCUCCAUGACAAUGCUGACUGUUAGCGUUCUUUUGGUGAUUGUUUCCCUCACAAUGUCUGAACACAUCGAUGAUUUAGCUAGAAAAAUAACAACCCACAAAAUUCGAACGGGACUAUCUAGGGUUUCGACUUCAGAGAAUAUGACUUCGGCGAAAUCUGUUUAUGUGCACGAUAACAAGUCAGCCACAGAAGAGACGUUUAUAUAUACACAGAUGUCUACUGAUAUAGUUCUCAACACAACAGAGUAUCACAAAUUCAGUUAAGCUAGUCUACUAAUAAUAUGACUGUCGCCUGACGUAGCUUUCUAUUGAGAUAAUCUCUAUGGAAGAUGAAGUCUGGUGCAAAACACAAACAAGCGAAGCUAACCUUACAAAGAAACGGAAAAGACUGGAGAG